UUCAAAUACUAGUAUAUUUUUGAAAAUUAAAUAAAUAAUAAUUAAAUAAAGUAAUUCUUUGGUCAAAUAGAAUAAAAUCUUUGAAAAUGAAAAAAAAUCUGUUAUUAUUAAGUAGAUCUAUGGUCAGUGAAAAAUUAAAUUUGUGAUAGACUAGUCAAAUCUAAAUAUGUUAAAAGUUGUUGAAUUUUUUUUUAAUUCAUAUGACAUAAUUAAUAGUUCAAUAGGUCAGACCACCGCCCCGUCAAUAUUCCAUAUUUAUAUAUUAUUAUCAUAAUUACAGUCAAUUUUCCAAAAAUAUAAUAA
This 303-nucleotide long non-coding RNA is filed under the name Brassica napus (rape). Its description in RNAcentral is "long non-coding RNA (BNAP_LNC013724)". The record is from RNAcentral. Lineage: Eukaryota; Viridiplantae; Streptophyta; Magnoliopsida; Brassicales; Brassicaceae.